CAAGUUAAAGCUAAACUAUAAGCGUUUUAUUUACAUUAAAAAAAUUGGUUGAAUAACCUUUCUUGA
This 66-nucleotide transfer RNA is filed under the name Crypsis chinensis. RNAcentral describes it as "tRNA-Val". Lineage: Eukaryota; Metazoa; Arthropoda; Insecta; Coleoptera; Tenebrionidae. The record is from RNAcentral.